GGAAGAACGUAGCGAAAUGCGAUAAGUAAUGUGAAUUGCAGAAUUCAGUGAAUCAUCGAAUCUUUGAACGCACAUUGCGCCCGCCAGUAUUCUGGCGGGCAUGCCUGUUCGAGCGUCAUUACAACCCUCAGGCCCCCGGGCCUGGCGUUGGGGAUCGGCGGAGCCCCCCGUGGGCACACGCCGUCCCCCAAAUGCAGUGGCGGUCCCGCCGCAGCUUCCAUCGCGUAGUAGCUAACACCUCGCGACUGGAGAGCGGCGCGGCCACGCCGUAAAACACCCAACUCUUCUGAAGUUGACCUCGAAUCAGGUAGGAAUACCCGCUGAACUUAAGCAUAUCAAUAAGCGGAGG
RNAcentral lists this unclassified non-coding RNA (349 nucleotides) under soil metagenome. RNAcentral describes it as "partial contains 5.8S ribosomal RNA, internal transcribed spacer 2, and large subunit ribosomal RNA". The stretch from base 2 to 118 matches the Rfam family "5.8S ribosomal RNA", at positions 38 to 154 of the family's 154-position model. The record is from RNAcentral.